AAAUAAGAAGCAAAAAUUGCAUUUAAUUUCGACUUAAAACUUAGAGUAAAAUACUCCUUAUUUA
RNAcentral lists this transfer RNA (64 nucleotides) under Clanis deucalion. RNAcentral describes it as "tRNA-Arg". Lineage: Eukaryota; Metazoa; Arthropoda; Insecta; Lepidoptera; Sphingidae. RNAcentral also lists the same sequence under 1 other name. The record is from RNAcentral.